GACGAACGCUGGCGGCGUGCCUAAUACAUGCAAGUAGAACGCUGAAGGAGGAGCUUGCUUCUCUGGAUGAGUUGCGAACGGGUGAGUAACGCGUAGGUAACCUGCCUGGUAGUGGGGGAUAACUAUUGGAAACGAUAGCUAAUACCGCAUAAUAGCAGUUGUUGCAUGAUAACUGUUUGAAAGGUGCAAUUGCACCGCUACCAGAUGGACCUGCGUUGUAUUAGCUAGUUGGUGGGGUAACGGCUCACCAAGGCGACGAUACAUAGCCGACCUGAGAGGGUGAUCGGCCACACUGGGACUGAGACACGGCCCAGACUCCUACGGGAGGCAGCAGUAGGGAAUCUUCGGCAAUGGACGGAAGUCUGACCGAGCAACGCCGCGUGAGUGAAGAAGGUUUUCGGAUCGUAAAGCUCUGUUGUAAGAGAAGAACGAGUGUGAGAGUGGAAAGUUCACACUGUGACGGUAUCUUACCAGAAAGGGACGGCUAACUACG
This 493-nucleotide ribosomal RNA is filed under the name uncultured bacterium. RNAcentral's name for it is "partial 16S ribosomal RNA". It matches the Rfam family "Bacterial small subunit ribosomal RNA", at positions 28 to 505 of the family's 1533-position model. The record is from RNAcentral.